Molecule: ribosomal RNA, 502 nt
Filed under: uncultured bacterium
Lineage: Bacteria
Description: partial 16S ribosomal RNA
Rfam family: Bacterial small subunit ribosomal RNA
Source: RNAcentral
GACGAACGCUGGCGGCGUGCCUAAUACAUGCAAGUCGAACGAACCGCGACUAGGUGCUUGCACUUGGUCAAGGUGAGUGGCGAACGGGUGAGUAACACGUGGGUAACCUACCUCAUAGUGGGGGAUAACAGUCGGAAACGACUGCUAAUACCGCAUAGGACAUGGGAUCACAUGAUUCUGUGAGGAAAGGUGGCGCAAGCUAUCGCUAAGAGAUGGACCCGCGGUGCAUUAGCUAGUUGGUAGGGUAACGGCCUACCAAGGCGAUGAUGCAUAGCCGACCUGAGAGGGUGAUCGGCCACAUUGGGACUGAGACACGGCCCAAACUCCUACGGGAGGCAGCAGUAGGGAAUCUUCCGCAAUGGACGCAAGUCUGACGGAGCAAUGCCGCGUGAGUGAAGAAGGUCUUCGGAUCGUAAAGCUCUGUUGUUAGAGAAGAACAGCGCAUAGAGUAACUGUUAUGCGUGUGACGGUAUCUAACCAGAAAGCCACGGCUAACUACGUG